Molecule: ribosomal RNA, 497 nt
Filed under: uncultured bacterium
Lineage: Bacteria
Description: partial 16S ribosomal RNA
Rfam family: Bacterial small subunit ribosomal RNA
Source: RNAcentral
GAUGAACGCUGGCGGCGUGCCUAAUACAUGCAAGUCGAGCGAACGGACGAGAAGCUUGCUUCUCUGAUGUUAGCGGCGGACGGGUGAGUAACACGUGGAUAACCUACCUAUAAGACUGGGAUAACUUCGGGAAACCGUAGCUAAUACCGGAUAAUAUUUUGAACCGCAUGGUUCAAAAGUGAAAGACGGUCUUGCUGUCACUUAUAGAUGGAUCCGCGCUGCAUUAGCUAGUUGGUAAGGUAACGGCUUACCAAGGCAACGAUGCAUAGCCGACCUGAGAGGGUGAACCGCCACACUGGCACCGAGAAACGGUCCAGACUCCUAAGGGGAGCCACAGUAGGGAAUCUUCCGGCAUGGGGGAAAGCCUGACGGAGCAACGCCGCGUGAGUGAUGAAGGUCUUCGGAUCGUAAAACUCUGUUAUUAGGGAAGAACAUAUGUGUAAGUAACUGUGCACAUCUUGACGGUACCUAAUCAGAAAGCCACGGCUAACUACGUG